CUUUAAUUUCUCUUCCUCUCUCUCUCUCUCUCUAUGUUAUUAUCUCUCAUAUCUUCUUCAUAUCUCUACUCUCUUUAUUUUUCAAGUUUAUCUCUCAAAUCUCCGUCAUAUCUCGUUUAAUUUCUCAUCUCUCAGUCUCUGUCUCUCUCUGUAUCUUCUCUCACUUCAUAUCCAACUGUUAGUGCCAAAGAUACCCCAAACAGUGCCAAACUAAGUACCACAGUGCCAGAUAGGAACAGUGACACAGGGGUCUAUCAUGUGACCACAGUGCCAGUUUAUAUAGAGUGCCAGAGUGCCAAACUAAAUAACCCAAUAGGACCCAUGUUAAGAGGGCCACAGUGACAAGUUUGCAUAGAGUGCCAGUGCCAACUAGCUUAUAACCCAAUAGCACCAUGUUAAGAGGGCCACAGUGCAAGCCAGCCAGUCAGCCAGCCAGCAAACCAACCAACCAACCAACCAACCAGCCAACCAACCAGUCAGCCAGCCAGUGAGCCAACCAACCAGUCAGCCAGCCAGCGAACCAACCAGUCAGUCAGUCAGUCAGUCAGCCAGCCAGCCAGCCAGUGUGAUAAGCUUGAGGUUGUUAAAAAAGAUACAAGCAGUAAUAAUUGUUCUUUACAAGAUGACAUUUGUUUUAUUGUUAACAAUUAAAGCAAGAAAUGUUUUUUAUUUUGUUUUUUUAUUAUUAUUAUUAUUAUUAUUCAUUAUUAUAUGUAUGUAUGUGCUUUGCGUCAGCUUGUUACCUCUGUGAGUUGUUUUGGGGGCUAAAUAAAUCGAAGCUACCUAACACAUGUACACCCACAAUGCACACACACACGUCUUUGGCAGCCACACGCACACACAUGCACACACACACACACACGCACACACAAGUACAUCAAAUCAGGAAGGGCCAAAAAUGUUGUCCUGAGGUUUGGUAACGUAGAAGUGAUGGUGAGAAGGAAUAUCAGACACAAAAUAUCUACUUCUUAAUGGCCACACGCUACAAACGGGGAGGUAAUGAUGGCUAGAGUAAUGGUAAUGAUGGGAGGACUUCUUGUUACUGCCACCUACGCACUCACACACACGCACUCACUCACACACACUCACUCAUACACACACACACACACAUACACAGGUCAAUUCUACCUCACAAAUUAAUGUUUCUAUACUUGUCGUUAAUUGGAAAUGUCAAAUUAUCAAGAGUUCACACACACACACACACACACACACACACACACA
Molecule: long non-coding RNA, 1221 nt
Organism: Portunus trituberculatus (swimming crab)
Lineage: Eukaryota; Metazoa; Arthropoda; Malacostraca; Decapoda; Portunidae
Exons: 2
Source: RefSeq, a predicted model, not a curated record